ACUUAAAUAGUUUAAGAAAAAUGUUGAUUUGUGGUGUCAAAGUUAUAGUUUAUAUUUUAGGUU
Molecule: transfer RNA, 63 nt
Filed under: Capnogryllacris melanocrania
Lineage: Eukaryota; Metazoa; Arthropoda; Insecta; Orthoptera; Gryllacrididae
Description: tRNA-His
Source: RNAcentral